Molecule: unclassified non-coding RNA, 251 nt
Filed under: uncultured fungus
Lineage: Eukaryota; Fungi
Description: partial contains 5.8S ribosomal RNA, internal transcribed spacer 2, and large subunit ribosomal RNA
Source: RNAcentral
AACGCACAUUGCGCCCCUUGGUAUUCCAUGGGGCAUGCCUGUUCGAGCGUCAUCUACACCCUCAAGCUCUGCUUGGUGUUGGGCGUCUUUGUCCCGCCUCCGCGCGCGGACUCGCCCCAAAUUCAUUGGCAGCGGUCCUUGCCUCCUCUCGCGCAGCACAUUGCGCUUCUCGAGGUGUUGCGGCCCGCGUCCAGAAAGCAAUCGUUACCGUCUUUGACCUCGGAUCAGGUAGGGAUACCCGCUGAACUUAA